CAAUAGCGUAUAUUAAAGUUGUUGCAGUUAAAAAGCUCGUAGUUGGAUUUCUGGUUGGAGCGACCGGUCGGGCAUUGAUUUGUCUGCACUGGAGUCGGUUCUGGCCAUCCUCUUGGAAAGUGCGUCUGUAAUUAAGUUGUCGGGCGUAUGAUCCAGGUCUUUUACUGUGAAAAAAUUAGAGUGUUUAAAGCAGGCCUUCGCCUUGAAUACAUUAGCAUGGAAUAAUAAGAUAGGACUUUGGUCUAUUUUGUUGGUUUGCAGACCGAAGUAAUGAUUAAUAGGGAUAGUUGGGGGUAUUUAUAUUCCAAUGUCAGAGGUGAAAUUCUUAGAUUUUUGGAAGAUAAACUUAUGCGAAAGCAUUUACCAAGGAUGUUUUCAUUAA
RNAcentral lists this ribosomal RNA (382 nucleotides) under uncultured eukaryote. Its description in RNAcentral is "partial 18S ribosomal RNA". It matches the Rfam family "Eukaryotic small subunit ribosomal RNA", at positions 592 to 976 of the family's 1831-position model. The record is from RNAcentral.